AGUGAACGCUGGCGGUAGGCCUAACACAUGCAAGUCGAACGGCAGCACAGUAAGAGCUUGCUCUUACGGGUGGCGAGUGGCGGACGGGUGAGGAAUACAUCGGAAUCUACUUUUUCGUGGGGGAUAACGUAGGGAAACUUACGCUAAUACCGCAUACGACCUACGGGUGAAAGCAGGGGAUCUUCGGACCUUGCGCGAUUGAAUGAGCCGAUGUCGGAUUAGCUAGUUGGCGGGGUAAAGGCCCACCAAGGCGAUGAUCCGUAGCUGGUCUGAGAGGAUGAUCAGGCACACUGGAACUGAGGCACGGUCCAGACUCCUACGGGAAGCAGCAGUGGGGAAUAUUGGACAAUGGGCGGAAGCCUGAUCCAGCCAUACCGCGUUGGUGGAGGAGGCCUUCGGGUUGUAAAGCCCUUUUGUUGGGAAAGAAAAGCAGCAGGUUAAUACCCCGCUGUUCUGACGGUACCCAAAGAAUAAGCACCGGCUAACUUCGUG
RNAcentral lists this ribosomal RNA (492 nucleotides) under uncultured bacterium. RNAcentral's name for it is "partial 16S ribosomal RNA". It matches the Rfam family "Bacterial small subunit ribosomal RNA", at positions 29 to 507 of the family's 1533-position model. The record is from RNAcentral.